RNAcentral lists this long non-coding RNA (1723 nucleotides) under Mizuhopecten yessoensis (Yesso scallop). RNAcentral's name for it is "uncharacterized LOC110464733, transcript variant X2". The record is from RNAcentral. Lineage: Eukaryota; Metazoa; Mollusca; Bivalvia; Pectinida; Pectinidae.
AGUCUAGUCAAUACCACAGAGUACGUUGUACCAUGCGACUGUUGUUGUGAAAUGAAAACACACACGGCUGUCACCAAAGCAAUGUGCAAAGUUAUGUAUUGGACUGUCGGCAACAACAGUGUAGCAUGGUACAACCGAUAAGGGCGGCAUAACAGGCACUGUGACCGUAAGUAAGGCAGAUAUAGACACGGUGUUCUCAAUAAUUUGGCUGUAAUAGUACACUGUUCCAGUAUCACAUUGAAAACGAGGAGAAAAAGCAGGACUAUCCAAGCAUUUCAAGGCAGAUGGAACAAGGAAUGAGAUCAUAAAUGACAUUGAGAAGAGUUACUUAGUAAUCAUCUCUCCUGUGUCACUACACACGUGCACAGGAAUAGCAUAUUGGUACCCACGCUUGAUGUGAUAGCCAAGGUAACGUAGUCCACAACAGAAUGACAGAUCGCAACCAGAAAUAUCGCUUACAUUACUUGCUGCCCAUUGACUCGUGUUAAGAACGGAUGCAGAUGGCCAUUGUGAAAGGGAUGUGUAGUCAAAUAUUAAUCCCGACGUGACCUUGAAACCAAGGUGACGAUGAAGGUCAAACGGGAUACGUUCGAUACGGGUCAGCCGAUCUUCCAGCACCCGGAUGAUUACAGCGAAGAUCGGUAUAUGAUUCACGAAAUGAAAAUUUUCAUUAUUUUGGUGAUAGGUUUUGUUGUGAUACUGGCAUGUGUCCUCUACAUUAUAGUGCAGUGUAAACGGAAAGCCGGAUAUGCGGUCAAAUUCUGCCGGAACCGGAAGGAGUCAAGUGAUGUUAAAAAGCUUUUGGAUAACCAAGAGAGUGUUGAAAAUCUUCUUCAUGUGACGUCACCACAUCUCUCACGGAACCAAAUAAACAAAGAGUUCUACGUGUGACUAUGAUUAUUUGUGAUAUCGUGACGUCACUCACAAUGCAUAUGAAUAUGAAAGGGCGUGCCGAUAUUUUGUCAAACGAGGCAAUUAAAUGUUUGCAAGAGUGAUAAUAUCAGACGUGCACAUUGUGCAGAAACUACAAUAUGAUAAUUUGCCUCGUGGUUGUGAAUGGAAGUAAACGCCCCAAAGGUAAUAUCACACUAUGCACAAAAGGCCUGUAUAUUACACGGCCUGACGUCAGUCCGGUCGGGUAGUCUACUCUCUAUGCUCUAAGAUUGUCACCAAAUUCCCAAGUGCGUCUGAACCAUUUAUUGAAUAGAACAUCUAUGAAGUGUUUCAGAUGUAGGAUGUGGCAAGGAAGAAGUUGUAUCGCAUCAGUACGAAUACGUUAUAUUGCUGAAUGUUUAAUUAGACUGACUAAGCCUGAUCUAGAGUUGGGGCUUUGAAUAUUCAGGUAAGGAGCUAACAAUCGUGUACUGUAUGCUCACUUGCCGACGGUGUGUCCGUCUGUCCGGCAGGGAGGUCAUGUUGCUGCUGAGAAAAAGUGAUUUACAGCCUGCACCUACAUUUGGUGAGGGACAUUGACUAUUUAUCUUACGGAUAUUCUUUUAAUUUUUAUACUCAAGUUGAUUGUUUGUAAUCAUAGAUCUUUUGAACCUUUUUUACAUGUGUUCGAGCACGGAGAACCAAUCAGAUCCCUUAUCAUUGUCACGUGAGUGUGUGUUUUCAUACCUUUUUAUCAUAUUACUUUUAUGUAUUUUUCCUAUACAAUUCAAAAGAACUUAAAAUGUUAAUGCAAAAAAUGAAAGUUUGUGAAUUUUUUCUACAAUCAUAA